This 401-nucleotide ribosomal RNA is filed under the name uncultured bacterium. Its description in RNAcentral is "partial 16S ribosomal RNA". It matches the Rfam family "Archaeal small subunit ribosomal RNA", at positions 473 to 873 of the family's 1478-position model. The record is from RNAcentral.
AUACCGGCUGCUCGAGUGAUGGCCACUAUUACUGGGUUUAAAGCGUCCGUAGCUUGACUGUUAGGUCUCUUGGGAAAUCUUUUGGCUUAACCAAAAGGCGUCUAAGAGAUACCGGCAUUCUUGGAACUGGGAGAGGUAAGCCGUACUUCGGGGGUAGGAGUGAAAUCUUGUAAUCCUCGAGGGACGACCUAUGGCGAAGGCAGCUUACCAGAACAGCUUCGACAGUGAGGGACGAAAGCUGGGGGAGCAAACGGGAUUAGAUACCCCGGUAGUCCCAGCCGUAAACAAUGUGCGUUAGGUGUGUCGGUUACCACGCGUAACUGAUGCGCCGAAGAGAAAUCGUGAAACGCACCACCUGGGAAGUACGGUCGCAAGGCUGAAACUCAAAUGAAUUGGCGGGG